RNAcentral lists this ribosomal RNA (1446 nucleotides) under Triticum aestivum (bread wheat). RNAcentral describes it as "partial small subunit ribosomal RNA". The record is from RNAcentral. Lineage: Eukaryota; Viridiplantae; Streptophyta; Magnoliopsida; Poales; Poaceae.
AUGGAGGUGCUGGCCGGAGGAGGCCGCGGCUGCCUCAUGCAUGCGCUACUUCUUGUUGGUGCCGCCCUUGUUGCAUUGACGGGCGGCGCGGAGGCGUGGGCGCACCACGGCGCCGCCGGUGCGAGGGCCGGCGCCGAGCGGCGGUACAGGGAUCUCGCGGCGGGCAGGAUGGAGAGCGUCAGAUCCUCCUUCGGCAAGGCCAGGAGGGGGCUUGCAACGUCCUCGGCGAGCUCGCGGGUGUACCACGUCACGGACUACGGCGCCGACCCCACCGGCGCCGCCGACGCCACGGCGGCCAUCAAGAAGGCCAUCGCCGACGCCUUCAGCCCCCCCUCCAACGCCACCAUGGCCGCCGGCAUCCCCGACCUCGGCGGCGCCGAGAUCCACCUCGACGGCGGCACCUACCUCGUCAACGGCCCACUCACCCUGCCGGCCUCCGGCGGCGGCAACUUCAAGAUCCACAGCGGCUCGCUGCGGGCGUCGGCGGAGUUCCCGACGGACCGGUACCUGAUCGAGCUGUCGGCGGGCUCGUCGGCGUCGAGCUACCACUACGAGUACGUGACGCUGCGCGACCUGAUGCUGGACUGCAACUACCGGGGCGGCGGCGUGGAGGUGGUGGACUCGCUGCGCGUCGGCGUCGACAACUGCUACAUCACCCACUUCGAGACGGAGGGCAUCGCGGUGCGCGGCGGCCACGAGACGUACAUCCGCAACACCUUCCUGGGCCAGCACAUGACCGCCGGCACCGACCCCGGGGAGCGCUCCUUCGGCGGCACGGCCAUCCGGCUCGACGGCAACGACAACUCCGUCUCCGACGUGGUGGUCUUCUCCGCGGCGACCGGGAUCAUGGUCACCGGCGGCGCCAACACCAUCUCCGGCGUGCACUGCUACAACAAGGCCACCGGGUUCGGCGGCACGGGGAUCCACCUCAGGGUGCCCGGGCUCACGCAGACGUGGCUCACCAACUGCUACAUGGACUACACCAGCAUCGUGGCCGAGGACCCCGUGCUGCUGCACGUGUCGGGCUCCUUCUUCCUCGGCGACGCCAACGUGGUGCUCAAGGCGGUCAACGGCGUCGCCCGCGGCGUGCAGAUCACCGGCAACAUGUUCAACGGGCGGGGCAAGGGCGUGGACAUCGUGCAGCUGGACGGCGCCUUCGGGACGGUGGAGCAGGUGUACGUGCAGCAGAACUCCGCCAUGGGGAUGAACCUCAAGGCCACCACGGCGCGCGGCUCCGCCGAGGGCAACGGUAGCUCCUGGACCGUCGACUUCGCGCCGGUGCUGCUGUUCCCGGACCGGAUCGGGCACGUGCAGUACUCGCUCGUCGCCGGCGACGCGUUCCCCGGGCACACGCUCAGGAACAUCUCCGGCAACCAGGUCGUCGUGGCCACCGACAAGGCCGUGUCCGCCACCGUGCACGUGCUCGUCGACCAGAACAGCAACUGA